This 142-nucleotide ribosomal RNA is filed under the name uncultured eukaryote. RNAcentral describes it as "partial 18S ribosomal RNA". It matches the Rfam family "Eukaryotic small subunit ribosomal RNA", at positions 1299 to 1458 of the family's 1831-position model. The record is from RNAcentral.
UGGUGGAGUGAUUUGUCUGGUUAAUUCCGUUAACGAACGAGACCUCGACCUGCUAAAUAGUUCGGCGAAAGCUUCGGCUUUCGUUCGUGACUUCUUAGAGGGACUAUCGGUGUGUAGCCGACGGAAGUUCGAGGCAAUAACA